CCCUAGUAUUAAAAUUUAUUAGGAUUAUUAUGACAAGAAAUUUAAAAUUUUUGGCGGUUAAUUAUUAUGAUAGAGGAGCUUGUUUGGAUAGAAAUUACUCUUUAUAUCUUAUUAAUUUUUGUUUAUUUAUUUCCGUUAUUAGGUGAAAACUUUAUAAGUUUUUGUUUAUAUUUCAGGUCAAGAUGUAGCAAUAAUUAAGAAAAAUUAGCUACAUUAAUAGAGUUAUGGAUUUAUUUAAAGGAAAGUUUAGUGAAAUUGAAUUUAAUUGUAAUUUAAUUUAGGAUAAUUAAAUGAAAAUUUAUAAUUAAUGUA
RNAcentral lists this ribosomal RNA (312 nucleotides) under Cosmetus sp. MZSP 73053. Its description in RNAcentral is "partial small subunit ribosomal RNA". Lineage: Eukaryota; Metazoa; Arthropoda; Arachnida; Opiliones; Cosmetidae. The record is from RNAcentral.